UUGAUCAUAAGUGUAAUUACUGACUCUUACUUUGUUAACCCUUGACCCAAUAAUAUGAUACACGGCCAAAAUUAACGUGACAUAUAUUCGUAUAUACAUAUAUAUUAUUUAUUGGUUAGUUUCAAACAGUGAUACCUGAGAACAUAAACAUCGUUGUAUUCUUCGGAUACUAUCAGUUGAUCGUUCUCUUGGUCCUUGAAGGGAUAAAAUGCAAAACUGUACAUUAAAAUUCCCUUUGUGUCCCUCAAAUAGUCAAAUGGCGGUUUCCUGUAUUUGUAUGUUUUAACUCCUUUUGUGUACCAGUGAAGGUUAAAUAUAUAUAUAAAAUAUACGUAUUAGUUAACAUAAAUUUACCUUUUAUCAUUUCCAAAAAUACGGAAAAAUAUUCAAAUUUUUAAAUUGCAAACAGACAGGAUAUUUCAUCAAUUAUUCGUUGCGUCGGAUAUAAAAGAAUUUAAAUCUCCGGUUUUAUUUGAACAAAUCAUUCAACCGAUACGGCCAGCAGAUCGUAUUAAUCUUGAACUUCCGUCUCACAUGUGUAGUUAGGUAGGGUUGGUGUGUACACGUAUUUAGUCCAUCUUGGAACGCAGUUUUUGACCAAUUUGAACCAAACUCAUCAAUUUAGCAAAAUGUCAUGGGAUAGUUAUAUAGAUAACUUGAUUGCUCAUACAAAAGAUUCCACUGGAAGCGCAAAUGCAGACAAGGCUUGUAUUAUUGGCCUUGAUGGUUCAAAGUGGACAACAGAUGGCGCACCACAGGCCAUUAAGAUAACUGCUGCAGAGGCUGCGACUAUUGGAAAAGCUUUUAAAAGUAGAGAUUUUUCACCAUUUAUGUCGAGUGGAGUCACUGUCGAAGGAAUAAAAUACCAAUUUUUAAGAGAAGAAGAUAAUAAAUUAGUCUUAGCUAAAAAGAAAGACCAAGGUGCACUAACUCUACAAACUUCCAAAACAGGUGUGGUAAUUGGUCAUACCAAAGAAGGAGGUCAACAAGGCAAUACGAACAAAGGAGUUGCAACUAUAGCUGAAUAUCUAGAAUCCUUAAACAUGUAGAACAUUCGUCUCGACAACAAAUUACUGACAAUAAUCUAUGCAUCUAUGCACAUUAUAUUUCCUAAAAACUAAAGCAAUGUUUCUAUUGAGGUUCCAAUUAUACUUUAAUAUCUCUGCUUUACAUUAUACAAUUAAUAAAACAUACAUCUGACAA
Long non-coding RNA from Mytilus californianus (California mussel), 1203 nucleotides. RefSeq lists it as uncharacterized. The transcript is spliced from 2 exons. Lineage: Eukaryota; Metazoa; Mollusca; Bivalvia; Mytilida; Mytilidae. The record is from RefSeq and is a predicted model, not a curated record.